GGAGAGGUAUCCAAGUGGUUGACGGAGCCGCUCUCGAAAAGCGGUAGNNCGUGGGUUCGAAUCCCACCCUCUCCGCCA
Molecule: transfer RNA, 78 nt
Filed under: Candidatus Omnitrophota bacterium
Lineage: Bacteria; Pseudomonadati; Candidatus Omnitrophota
Description: Candidatus Omnitrophica bacterium tRNA-Ser
Rfam family: tRNA
About the family: Transfer RNA (tRNA) molecules are approximately 80 nucleotides in length. Their secondary structure includes four short double-helical elements and three loops (D, anti-codon, and T loops). Further hydrogen bonds mediate the characteristic L-shaped molecular structure. tRNAs have two regions of fundamental functional importance: the anti-codon, which is responsible for specific mRNA codon recognition, and the 3' end, to which the tRNAs corresponding amino acid is attached (by aminoacyl-tRNA synthetases). tRNAs cope with the degeneracy of the genetic code in two manners: having more than one tRNA (with a specific anti-codon) for a particular amino acid; and 'wobble' base-pairing, i.e. permitting non-standard base-pairing at the 3rd anti-codon position.
Source: RNAcentral